UUCCGACUGAAACCGUGUACUGUAAGACUGCAGGGUCACAUAAUCAUAUUCCGACUGAAACCGUGUACUGUAAGACUGCAGGGUCACAUAAUCAUAUUCCGACUGAAACCGUGUACUGUAAGACUGCAGGGUCACAUAAUCAGAUUCCGACUGAAACCGUGUACUGUAAGACUGCAGGGUCACAUAAUCAGAUUCCGACUGAAACCGUGUACUGUAAGACUGCAGGGUCACAUAAUCAGAUUCCGACUGAAACCGUGUACUGUAAGACUGCAGGGUCACAUAAUCAGAUUCCGACUGAAACCGUAUACUGUAAGACUGCAGGGUCACAUAAUCAGAUUCCGACUGAAACCGUGUACUGUAAGACUGCAGGGUCACAUAAUCAGAUUCCGACUGAAACCGUGUACUGUAAGACUGCAGGGUCACAUAAUCAGAUUCCGACUGAAACCGUGUACUGUAAGACUGCAGGGUCACAUAAUCAGAUUCCGACUGAAACCGUGUACUGUAAGACUGCAGGGUCACAUAAUCAGAUUCCGACUGAAACCGUGUACUGUAAGACUGCAGGGUCACAUAAUCAGAUUCCGACUGAAACCUUGUACUGUAAGACUGCAGGGUCACAUAAUCAUAUUCCGACUGAAACCGUGUACUGUAAGACUGCAGGGUCACAUAAUCAGAUUCCGACUGAAACCGUGUACUGUAAGACUGCAGGGUCACAUAAUCAGAUUCCGACUGAAACCGUGUACUGUAAGACUGUCACAUAAUCAGAUUCCGACUGAAACCGUGUACUGUAAGACUGCAGGGUCACAUAAUCAGAUUCCGACUGAAACCGUGUACUGUAAGACUGCAGGGUCACAUAAUCAGAUUCCGACUGAAACCGUGUACUGUAAGACUGCAGGGUCACAUAAUCAGAUUCCGACUGAAACCGUGUACUGUAAGACUGCAGGGUCACAUAAUCAGAUUCCGACUGAAACCGUGUACUGUAAGACUGCAGGGUCACAUAAUCAGAUAACAUAA
RNAcentral lists this long non-coding RNA (1011 nucleotides) under Oncorhynchus kisutch (coho salmon). RNAcentral describes it as "lncRNA (ENSOKIG00005030966.1)". The record is from RNAcentral. Lineage: Eukaryota; Metazoa; Chordata; Actinopteri; Salmoniformes; Salmonidae.